This 675-nucleotide ribosomal RNA is filed under the name Klebsiella aerogenes. RNAcentral describes it as "bacterial SSU rRNA". It matches the Rfam family "Bacterial small subunit ribosomal RNA", at positions 56 to 723 of the family's 1533-position model. The record is from RNAcentral. Lineage: Bacteria; Pseudomonadati; Pseudomonadota; Gammaproteobacteria; Enterobacterales; Enterobacteriaceae.
UGCAGUCGAGCGGUAGCACAGAGAGCUUGCUCUCGGGUGACGAGCGGCGGACGGGUGAGUAAUGUCUGGGAAACUGCCUGAUGGAGGGGGAUAACUACUGGAAACGGUAGCUAAUACCGCAUAACGUCGCAAGACCAAAGUGGGGGACCUUCGGGCCUCAUGCCAUCAGAUGUGCCCAGAUGGGAUUAGCUAGUAGGUGGGGUAAUGGCUCACCUAGGCGACGAUCCCUAGCUGGUCUGAGAGGAUGACCAGCCACACUGGAACUGAGACACGGUCCAGACUCCUACGGGAGGCAGCAGUGGGGAAUAUUGCACAAUGGGCGCAAGCCUGAUGCAGCCAUGCCGCGUGUAUGAAGAAGGCCUUCGGGUUGUAAAGUACUUUCAGCGAGGAGGAAGGCGUUAAGGUUAAUAACCUUAGCGAUUGACGUUACUCGCAGAAGAAGCACCGGCUAACUCCGUGCCAGCAGCCGCGGUAAUACGGAGGGUGCAAGCGUUAAUCGGAAUUACUGGGCGUAAAGCGCACGCAGGCGGUCUGUCAAGUCGGAUGUGAAAUCCCCGGGCUCAACCUGGGAACUGCAUUCGAAACUGGCAGGCUAGAGUCUUGUAGAGGGGGGUAGAAUUCCAGGUGUAGCGGUGAAAUGCGUAGAGAUCUGGAGGAAUACCGGUGGCGAAGGCG